UUCGGAACUGAGUCUAGUUCCUUCGAUAUCAGUGUAAUCUAAUAACCAUGAUAUUUGUGAAUAUGAUGCUUGUGUGAUGUUACUCUGAGUGCAUAUCCACACCGGGCAAGCUUGAAAAAUAUGCCAAGCCACAUUGGGAUUCAAACCGACCUGACCGUGUAGCUCAGUUGACAGAGCAUUGCCAUUUGGGCUAGUAUUCCAAAGGUCGUAGGUUCAAAUCCCACUGUGGCCAGGCAUAUUUUUCAAGCCUGCCCGGUGUGGAUAUACACUCAGAGUAACAUCACACAAGCAUCUCAUUUCAUCACGUUCCUCCAGAUAUUCAUACACUUCCUGUGAAAGAGCCAAUUCCAAGUAUUUAAUCAUUUCUGGUCACUUCCUUUCUAUUUAUGAUUGGUUAGUUGCACAAACAACAAAGGUGAUUGGUGCAUUCAAACCAUUUAACAGGAAGUUUACAAUUAUACUAGGAAGUGUAUGAAUAUCUUGAGGAACUUAAUCAAAUGAAUUGGUUAGCCCAAGGUAAUGUAUUGAAUCAAUAUUUGAGGAACACUUCAAUUGGAACGACAGUGAAGAAUUAUUAAAAAAAAUAUUUUAUUCAAAAAAAGAUUUUCCAAGAUAAUUAUAUAAUUACAUUUAGUAAUAAG
Non-coding RNA from Paramuricea clavata, 641 nucleotides. NCBI's taxonomy places the organism in Eukaryota, Metazoa, Cnidaria, Anthozoa, Malacalcyonacea, Plexauridae. The record is from the annotation of a GenBank genome assembly.